AUGGGCUCUAAAAGACACCUUUCGAUUUCCUAACAAUCAGCUGACAUUGUCAAGGAAAGCGAGCUUCUUGGGGAUGAUUCCAAGAAUAUAGAGGAAAUGACAGUUCAACAGCUGAGAUCGAAAUUGAGGAAUAUGGGGAUUCCUGCCAAAGGUACUAAGCAGGAACUCGUCUCUGCCUCGAAGAGUUCUUUGGACAGCUAAAUAGAUGGUGAAGGUUCUUUGGAUGGAAGCAAUCAAGUGAUUACCAAAGAUGAGCCAAAUAUCACUAAAAACAAC
Olea europaea var. sylvestris is the source of this 276-nucleotide long non-coding RNA. RefSeq lists it as uncharacterized. NCBI's taxonomy places the organism in Eukaryota, Viridiplantae, Streptophyta, Magnoliopsida, Lamiales, Oleaceae. The transcript is spliced from 4 exons. The record is from RefSeq and is a predicted model, not a curated record.